CGGAAGUGACGUUAUGUGUCCUAUAUAAGGCCUUGUGCAGCACGCGGUCGUUCUUUCUCUCUGCUGGUUACAGUAGUUUGUUAAAACGGUUGCAGCUGUUUAAGUUCGGCACUUUGAUGCCCGGAACUACAUGCAGAACAGCGCAGAAAUCAGUGCAGGACUUUACUGCACUAUGUGUAAUAAAAGCUUCUGUUCCACAAGGCUUCAGCCAAGGUGAUUUGACCAUGCUGCACAUCAACUGAGUAUUGGAAGGCUGAUGGAAGGCUUGCACCUGGUGCUAUGUGGCCUUCAAGCUGAAUUACUAACCAUCUCUUCGCACCAUGAAUCUGGAGGAUUUGCUCAUCCUGCACAGCUCUGAUUCAAGAAGCUGAAUGUUGGUGGAGUGAAUCCAUGCUGCACACCAACUGGGUAUUGGUGCAGGAAAUGUGAUCUGUAUGGAUGGAAGGCUUGCGCCUGGUGCUAUGUGGCCUUCAGGCUGGAUUACUAGCCAUCUUGUACAUCGCACCAUGAAGCCGGAUGAUUGAAUGAUCUUAAUGAUUGAGAAGCAGACAAGGUUGAGGCUGAUAUGCUGAAGCAAGUUUAGAAAGAUGUGCAACAAUUACCCCAAUGGCUACUUCAGUUUCAGAUGAAUGUCUGCAAAUGUUAGCUUGUGUUGAAUGUACAAAUGACUAGCUUUCAUGUUUAAAUGGUGCUACAGUAGUAUGCCAGAUUAUUCUUGAUUACAAUGCACUUGAGUAAAAAGUGUAAUGUAUUUUAUACUGCAUUUAUUAUAACUUAUAGUUUAGACAAUCACUUCUACACAUACAAUGUAAAUUCAAUACAUUUGAACAAAGUAUUAUGCAAAUGUUAACCAAGAACAUUGUUUGUAAUAAAAUUUAGAAUUGAUGUAAGGACUACAGUUGUGGCCAAGUUUAAUGGCAAUUGGUAAUGUAUUUAAAUGGGGAAAAAAUGGUGCUAACAAUUGUAUGAAUUUAGAUGUAAUAAGGUAAUUUAAAUACCUUAAAGCUUUCAUAUUGCCUCAUUUUCUCCAGAAUCCACUGCAACCCUCACCAGGUUCCUGAAUUGAAUAAAUGUCCCAAGAAAAUACUCAACUGUCCUGAGUUAUGCAGCAUUUUUCUUGUACAAGUAUUUCAUGUUUUUAUUACAUUAAAAUGCAAAUUGCUGA
Molecule: long non-coding RNA, 1165 nt
Organism: Silurus meridionalis
Lineage: Eukaryota; Metazoa; Chordata; Actinopteri; Siluriformes; Siluridae
Exons: 6
Source: RefSeq, a predicted model, not a curated record